GACGAACCGAGCGAACGUUAUUCGGAAUCACUGGGCUUAAAGGGCGCGUAGGCGGGCUGACAAGUCAGGGGUGAAAUGCCGCGGCUCAACCGUGGAACUGCCUUAGAUACUGACGGCCUCGAGGAAGGUAGGGGCAUGCGGAACUGUAGGUGGAGCGGUGAAAUGCGUUGAUAUCUACAGGAACUCCGGUGGCGAAAGCGGCGUGCUGGACCUUUUCUGACGCUGAGGCGCGAAAGCUAGGGGAGCAAACGGG
RNAcentral lists this ribosomal RNA (253 nucleotides) under uncultured bacterium. RNAcentral describes it as "partial 16S ribosomal RNA". It matches the Rfam family "Bacterial small subunit ribosomal RNA", at positions 524 to 776 of the family's 1533-position model. The record is from RNAcentral.